AGUGAACGCUGGCGGUAGGCCUAACACAUGCAAGUCGAACGGCAGCACAGUAAGAGCUUGCUCUUACGGGUGGCGAGUGGCGGACGGGUGAGGAAUACAUCGGAAUCUACUUUUUCGUGGGGGAUAACGUAGGGAAACUUACGCUAAUACCGCAUACGCCCUACGGGUGAAAGCAGGGGAUCUUCUGACCUUGCGCGAUUGAAUGAGCCGAUGUCGGAUUAGCUAGUUGGCGGGGUAAAGGCCCACCAAGGCGACGAUCCGUAGCUGGUCUGAGAGGAUGAUCAGCCACACUGGAACUGAGACACGGUCAAGACUCCUACGGGAGGCAGCAGUGUGGAAUAUUGGACAAUAGGCGCAAGCCUGAUCCAGCCAUACCGCGUGGGUGAAGAAGGCCUUCGGGUUGUAAAGCCCUUUUGUUGGGAAAGAAAAGCAGCAGGUUAAUACCCCGCUGUUCUGACGGUACCCAAAGAAGAAGCACCGGCUAACUUCGUG
RNAcentral lists this ribosomal RNA (492 nucleotides) under uncultured bacterium. Its description in RNAcentral is "partial 16S ribosomal RNA". It matches the Rfam family "Bacterial small subunit ribosomal RNA", at positions 29 to 507 of the family's 1533-position model. The record is from RNAcentral.